Molecule: non-coding RNA, 45 nt
Organism: Schistosoma haematobium
Lineage: Eukaryota; Metazoa; Platyhelminthes; Trematoda; Strigeidida; Schistosomatidae
Source: Rfam
AUUCAGCUGACGAGUCCCAAAUGGAACGGAACAUGUGUCUUGGAU